GAUGAACGCUGGCGGCGCGCCUAACACAUGCAAGUCGAACGAUUAAAGCACCUUCGGGUGUGUAUAAAGUGGCGAACGGCUGAGUAACACGUGGGCAACCUGCCCCUCUCAUUGGGAUAGCCACGGGAAACCGUGGAUAAUACCGAAUACUUCGGGACUUCCGCAUGGAAGACUCGAGAAAGCUCCGGCGGAGAGGGAUGGGCCCGCGGCCUGUUAGCUUGUUGGUGGGGUAAUGGCCUACCAAGGCAAUGAGGGGUAGCUGGGUUGAGAGACCGACCAGCCAGAUUGGGACUGAGACACGGCCCAGACUCCUACGGGAGGCAGCAGUGGGGAAUCUUGCACAAUGGGCGAAAGCCUGAUGCAGCGACGCCGCGUGCGGGAUGAAGGCCUUCGGGUUGUAAACCGCUUUCAGCAGGGACGAGGCGAAAGUGACGGUACCUGCAGAAGAAGCCCCGGCUAACUACGUG
Molecule: ribosomal RNA, 467 nt
Filed under: uncultured bacterium
Lineage: Bacteria
Description: partial 16S ribosomal RNA
Rfam family: Bacterial small subunit ribosomal RNA
Source: RNAcentral